This 445-nucleotide ribosomal RNA is filed under the name uncultured bacterium. RNAcentral's name for it is "bacterial SSU rRNA". It matches the Rfam family "Bacterial small subunit ribosomal RNA", at positions 217 to 662 of the family's 1533-position model. The record is from RNAcentral. RNAcentral also lists the same sequence under 1 other name.
GGUAUGGGAUGAGCUUGCGUCCGAUUAGCUAGUUGGCGGGGCAACGGCCCACCAAGGCGACGAUCGGUAGCCGGCCUGAGAGGGUGAUCGGCCACAUUGGGACUGAGAUACGGCCCAGACUCCUACGGGAGGCAGCAGUAGGGAAUAUUGCACAAUGGGGGAAACCCUGAUGCAGCAACGCCACGUGUGGGAAGAAGCAUUUCGGUGUGUAAACCACUGUCGUGAGGGAAUAAGGCUAUUUUUCGGAGUAGUUGAAUGUACCUCGAGAGGAAGCACCGGCAAACUUCGUGCCAGCAGCCGCGGUAAUACGAGGGGUGCAAGCGUUGUUCGGAAUCACUGGGCGUAAAGGGAGCGCAGGCGGAAGCUCAAGCGGAUUGUACAAUACCGGGGCCCAACCCCGGACCUGCAGUCCGAACUGGGUUUCUUGGAUAGUUCAGGGGCAGGC